CCUACGGGUGGCACCAGUGGGGAAUAUUGCACAAUGGGCGCAAGCCUGAUGCAGCCAUGCCGCGUGUAUGAAGAAGGCCUUCGGGUUGUAAAGUACUUUCAGCGGGGAGGAAGGCGAUAAGGUUAAUAACCUUGUCGAUUGACGUUACCCGCAGAAGAAGCACCGGCUAACUCCGUGCCAGCAGCCGCGGUAAUACGGAGGGUGCAAGCGUUAAUCGGAAUUACUGGGCGUAAAGCGCACGCAGGCGGUCUGUCAAGUCGGAUGUGAAAUCCCCGGGCUCAACCUGGGAACUGCAUUCGAAACUGGCAGGCUAGAGUCUUGUAGAGGGGGGUAGAAUUCCAGGUGUAGCGGUGAAAUGCGUAGAGAUCUGGAGGAAUACCAGUGGCGAGGGCGGCCCCCUGGACAAAGACUGACGCUCAGGUGCGAAAGCGUGGGGAGCAAACAGGAUUAGAUACCCUCGUAGUC
RNAcentral lists this ribosomal RNA (465 nucleotides) under uncultured bacterium. Its description in RNAcentral is "bacterial SSU rRNA". It matches the Rfam family "Bacterial small subunit ribosomal RNA", at positions 338 to 795 of the family's 1533-position model. The record is from RNAcentral.